Molecule: long non-coding RNA, 1931 nt
Filed under: Chloebia gouldiae (Gouldian finch)
Lineage: Eukaryota; Metazoa; Chordata; Aves; Passeriformes; Passeridae
Description: Erythrura gouldiae (Gouldian finch) lncRNA (ENSEGOG00005018822.1)
Source: RNAcentral
ACUCGGUCAACCUGGCACUCCAGGAGCUUCACCUUCCUCUCAGCCAUCUCAGGGAACUCAGCUCAGUGUUUGAAAGCUCUGCCUCCAUUUAUGACCCUCCCUGAUUCCAGUGAGGAGCUGGAACUGCUGUUGACCUCAGGAAUGACAGAAGUAUAUGCUGGGGUUGGAGGGUUUCUGGCAUAUGACCUGCUAACCUAGAAUUUGCUUGGCAAAGUCCAGAGGAUGACUUUUAACCUCAGAGCAGUUUGCAAAACCACAUCUGUGACCAAUAAAUGUGAAAAAUAAAUGAAAAAAUAAAUCUAGCCCCUACUGAAGGAUGAAAGACAGCACACCUUGCUGGGCACUGGUGCUGAAAUCAGGAUGGAGAUUGGGAAUAAUUGGACAGGCCAUGUGCCAGAUGUUGUCCAUGAAUGGAGCCAAUGCCUCACACAAGGGAGGCAGCACAGCAGGUUAAAGUGAAGGUAUCUCAUAGCUCUAAGACUUAAACUUAACGAGCCACGUCUUUAUUUGUGCUGCAGCCCCUUCUUAUCCCAAAUUGCCUUUACCAGCUGCCAGAGGAUGCCUGGUAACGGAAAAUUCUCUGGAUAACAAUAAAUUAGUGUAACAAUUGAGCGUCACCUCACAUCCUGCUAAGCAAUAGAGAAAUCACGAUGAGAAAAAUAGGCACGACCGGAGUGGCACUGAACAGUGCAAUCCUAAUUCCAUCACCCUUCUUGUGGGCGACAGAUAACCCAGUGCAAUUUACAGCCGCUCUGAAGCGGCUCCAAGUCUCAGCAGGAGUCGGGAAAGCUCCGUGUAGCCUCGGGACUGAGGAGUCACCAAGAUCAGGCGAGUUGUUGUUCCAUAACCUUGCCUCUGCACCAGAACCAGGGGGCUGGUUUGCAAUGGGAAGCACUCCAGGCAAAACACAAAAUUUUAAUCACCAAAAUGAAGGUCCUCCUCUGGCUCCCUUUCUGGAGAAUCGUCUGUCUCUGAUCAUCGUGCACAGAUUCCCAAAGAAGGAUAAAUUGCAGCUGGUUGCUGGUAAUCCUUGUGGCAUAUCAGAUAGCAGCGUAGCUCGGCGAGGGUAAGCUGGAGAAACCCAAACAUCCUUCUGAGGAGGUAAUUAUUCCAUUGUGAAAAUGCCCCGGGAUAUUUUUAGUGGCCAAACCCCCUGUUUCCUGACAGAAACAUAAAAUAAUGAAGCAAGCUUCACAAGGAGAGACGCCUCAGACACCUGUAUUAGCUGGUGCUUUGCAGUCACGUCAGCGUUUAAUUUGCUGUGUGCAUCCCCGCAUCCCUGUACAGCAAAAUCCACACCUGCGUUUGGGGCACUGCGCACUCUGCCAGCCUCUGCCUCGCAGGAAACCCUCUCCAUAAACAAAUCUGCAAAUCCCGCUGGAUCAAGAAGAAUUUCACGGGAAUAUAGAGCUGCCUGCAACAAGAGGGACACCCUUGCCACACACAGAGGUUAUCAAGGGAAACUUUCCUUAACAGGAGUCUCAUAACCAGCAUUAAAGCCUGGCUUUUUUUUGGAACAGAUUAUUUAAAUUUCGUUUAAAAAUGUUUUGCAACAUGUUUUGCAGGGGAUGUACCCAUGUUUCACAUCCUGCAGUGCCCCAGGGGUCAGGCUCUCUCCUGGUUACCUCCAGCCCUGGUCCCAUGUAAUUUAUGUCCUGAAAGAGACGAUUCAAUUAGUUAAUAGUAAAAUGAGCAAGGACACCGUGUGCAUUGUAAAAAUAUAAUUUAGUGGGAAACAAGCUGAGAUGGAAAAAAUAUCAGAGUACACUCCAUAUGAUUAAUGAAGGAGGAAUGUAUAUUUAUAGCUUUUAUUGUGUCCUUUCUAAGGAGACUGGAUCUGGCAGUAGGGCUGGAACGGGCUGGUAACGAUGCAGCAUUCUAGUGAUUUGGAUUUGAAUGGCAAAUGCGGUAUAAAACUAAUUACCCCCAGG